AUGCAAGUCGAGCGGGGGAAGGUAGCUUGCUACUGGACCUAGCGGCGGACGGGUGAGUAAUGCUUAGGAAUCUGCCUAUUAGUGGGGGACAACAUCUCGAAAGGGAUGCUAAUACCGCAUACGUCCUACGGGAGAAAGCAGGGGAUCUUCGGACCUUGCGCUAAUAGAUGAGCCUAAGUCGGAUUAGCUAGUUGGUGGGGUAAAGGCCUACCAAGGCGACGAUCUGUAGCGGGUCUGAGAGGAUGAUCCGC
This 251-nucleotide ribosomal RNA is filed under the name Acinetobacter baumannii OIFC189. Its description in RNAcentral is "partial 16S ribosomal RNA". It matches the Rfam family "Bacterial small subunit ribosomal RNA", at positions 55 to 308 of the family's 1533-position model. Lineage: Bacteria; Pseudomonadati; Pseudomonadota; Gammaproteobacteria; Moraxellales; Moraxellaceae. The record is from RNAcentral.